AGUGAACGCUGGCGGUAGGCCUAACACAUGCAAGUCGAACGGCAGCACAGUAAGAGCUUGCUCUUACGGGUGGCGAGUGGCGGACGGGUGAGGAAUACAUCGGAAUCUACUUUUUCGUGGGGGAUAACGUAGGGAAACUUACGCUAAUACCGCAUACGACCUACGGGUGAAAGCAGGGGAUCUUCGGACCUUGCGCGAUUGAAUGAGCCGAUGUCGGAUUAGCUAGUUGGCGGGGUAAAGGCCCACCACGGCGACGAUCCGUAGCUGGUCUGAGAGGAUGAUCAGCCACACUGGCACUGAGACACGGUCCAGACUCCUACGGGAGGCAGCAGUGGGGAAUAUUGGACAAUGGACGCAAGCCUGAUCCAGCCAUACCGCGUGGGUGAAGAAGGCCUUCGGGUUGUAAAGCCCUUUUGCUGGGAAAGAAAAGCAGCAGGUUAAUACCCCGCUGUUCUGACGGUACCCAAAGAAUAAGCACCGGCUAACUUCGUG
This 492-nucleotide ribosomal RNA is filed under the name uncultured bacterium. RNAcentral's name for it is "partial 16S ribosomal RNA". It matches the Rfam family "Bacterial small subunit ribosomal RNA", at positions 29 to 507 of the family's 1533-position model. The record is from RNAcentral.